This 519-nucleotide ribosomal RNA is filed under the name uncultured eukaryote. Its description in RNAcentral is "SSU rRNA". It matches the Rfam family "Eukaryotic small subunit ribosomal RNA", at positions 1161 to 1700 of the family's 1831-position model. The record is from RNAcentral.
AGGGCACCACCAGGAGUGGAGCCUGCGGCUUAAUUUGACUCAACACGGGAAAACUUACCCGGCCCGGACACUGGAAGGAUUGACAGAUUGAGAGCUCUUUCUUGAUUCAGUGGGUGGUGGUGCAUGGCCGUUCUUAGUUGGUGGAGCGAUUUGUCUGGUUAAUUCCGAUAACGAACGAGACUCUAGCCUACUAAAUAGACUACCGUUCCUUUGUGACGGUAGGACUUCUUAGAGGGACAGGCGGCGACUCAGCCGCACGAAACAGAGCAAUAACAGGUCUGUGAUGCCCUUAGAUGUCCGGGGCCGCACGCGCGCUACACUGAAGUGAUCAGCGUGCAUUAAUAACCCUCUCUGUCAAGAGUGGGUAACCCAUUGAACCUUCUUCGUGAUUGGGAUGGGGUAUUGUAAUUCUUACCCUUGAACGAGGAAUUCCCAGUAAGCGCGAGUCAUAAGCUUGCGUUGAUUACGUCCCUGCCCUUUGUACACACCGCCCGUCGCUACUACCGAUUGAAUGAUUUA